GCCAACUGCAGCGUGUCCCCUUGGAACCCAGGCACUGGGCCGGAUCUGGCAAACUGUUCACAUUCCUCCACGUCCAGGUUGAACUGCUGCAAGGCGCCCAGCGUCAGCUGCCGCACUUCGGCUUCCAGCAGCAGCUGCAUCAGUGAGGUGGACAGGUGUUUGCAUGCUGACAUGCAGGCGGUCUGUGCCACCUUGCCCGACAUGGUAGAGUGGGC
Molecule: long non-coding RNA, 215 nt
Filed under: Gallus gallus (chicken)
Lineage: Eukaryota; Metazoa; Chordata; Aves; Galliformes; Phasianidae
Source: RNAcentral